UACGGGGGGGGCAAGCGUUGUUCGGAAUCACUGGGCGUAAAGGGCGCGUAGGCGGCUUUAUAAGUCGGGGGUGAAAGCCUGUGGCUCAACCACAGAAUUGCCUUCGAUACUGAGAGUCUUGAGUCCGGGAGAGGUGAGUGGAACUGCGAGUGUAGAGGUGAAAUUCGUAGAUAUUCGCAAGAACACCAGUGGCGAAGGCGGCUCACUGGCCCGGUACUGACGCUGAGGUGCGAAAGCGUGGGGAGCAAACAGG
Molecule: ribosomal RNA, 253 nt
Filed under: uncultured bacterium
Lineage: Bacteria
Description: partial 16S ribosomal RNA
Rfam family: Bacterial small subunit ribosomal RNA
Source: RNAcentral